GACGAACGCUGGCGGCGUGCUUAACACAUGCAAGUCGAACGGAAAGGCCCUGCUUUUGUGGGGUGCUCGAGUGGCGAACGGGUGAGUAACACGUGAGUAACCUGCCCUUGACUUUGGGAUAACUUCAGGAAACUGGGGCUAAUACCGGAUAGGAGCUCCUGCUGCAUGGUGGGGGUUGGAAAGUUUCGGCGGUUGGGGAUGGACUCGCGGCUUAUCAGCUUGUUGGUGGGGUAGUGGCUUACCAAGGCUUUGACGGGUAGCCGGCCUGAGAGGGUGACCGGCCACAUUAGGACUGAGAUACGGCCCAGACUCCUACGGGAGGCAGCAGUGGGGAAUAUUGCACAAUGGGCGGGAGCCUGAUGCAACAACGCCGCGUGCGGGAUGACGGCCUUCGGGUUGUAAACCGCUUUCGCCUGUGACGAAGCGGGAGUGACGGUAAUGGGUAAAGAAGCACCGGCUAACUACGUG
Molecule: ribosomal RNA, 468 nt
Filed under: uncultured bacterium
Lineage: Bacteria
Description: partial 16S ribosomal RNA
Rfam family: Bacterial small subunit ribosomal RNA
Source: RNAcentral